This 233-nucleotide long non-coding RNA is filed under the name Olea europaea (common olive). Its description in RNAcentral is "long non-coding RNA (OEUR_LNC015100)". The record is from RNAcentral. Lineage: Eukaryota; Viridiplantae; Streptophyta; Magnoliopsida; Lamiales; Oleaceae.
GUUCUGGGUAUAUGGCUCGUCAUUCAUUUUUGCACAGCACACACUAUAGUCCUGUGAGUGAAUCUUGACCGCAUGGGUGAGACUUGGGAUGGUGUUCUUCUGUGAUUGGGGUUAUGUGUCCAUUUGACUUGAUCUGGGACUAGUGUCACCUAAUCAUAUUGUCUUUCCCCACUUUUCUUUUGUUGAACUUAUGACUGUCUUCGGGGCCUAUUUGACUCGAACAAUUAAGCCUG